AUGAACGCUGGCGGCGUGCCUAAUACAUGCAAGUCGAGCGAACGGACGAGAAGCUUGCUUCUCUGAUGUUAGCGGCGGACGGGUGAGUAACACGUGGAUAACCUACCUAUAAGACUGGGAUAACUUCGGGAAACCGGAGCUAAUACCGGAUCAUAUUUUGAACCGCCUGGUUCAAACGUGAACGCCGGUCUUGCUGUCACUUAUCGAUGGAUCCGCGCUGCAUUAGCUAGUUGGUAAGGUAACGGCUUACCAAGGCAACGAUGCAUAGCCGACCUGAGAGGGUGAUCGGCCACACUGGAACUGAGACACGGUCCAGACUCCUACGGGAGGCAGCAGUAGGGAAGGUGCCUGAAUGGGCGAAAGCCUGAAGGAGUAAAGCCGCGUGAGUGAUGAAGGUCUUCGGAUCGUAAAACUCUGUCAUUAGGGAAGAACAUAUGUGUAAGUAACUGUGCACAUCGUGACGGUACCUAAGCAGAAAGCCACGGCUAACUACGUG
RNAcentral lists this ribosomal RNA (496 nucleotides) under uncultured bacterium. RNAcentral's name for it is "partial 16S ribosomal RNA". It matches the Rfam family "Bacterial small subunit ribosomal RNA", at positions 29 to 507 of the family's 1533-position model. The record is from RNAcentral.